This 411-nucleotide ribosomal RNA is filed under the name uncultured crenarchaeote. RNAcentral's name for it is "bacterial SSU rRNA". It matches the Rfam family "Archaeal small subunit ribosomal RNA", at positions 854 to 1281 of the family's 1478-position model. Lineage: Archaea; Thermoproteati; Thermoproteota. The record is from RNAcentral.
ACUUAAAGGAAUUGGCGGGGGAGCACACAAGGGGUGGACGUUGCGGCUUAAUUGGAGUCAACGCCGGAAACCUUACCGGGGGCGACGCAGUGAUGGCAGGUAAAGGCCUGCCUGACGAGCUGAGAGGAGGUGCAUGGCCGUCGCCAGUGCGUGCCGUGAGGUGUCCUGUUAAUUCAGGCAACGGACGAGACCCGCGCCCCCAGUUGCGACCGGGGAAGCCCGAGCACUCUGGGGGGACUGCCCCGGAAACGGGGAGGAAGGAGCGGGCCACGGCAGGUCAGUAUGCCCCGAAUCCCCCGGGCCGCACGCGACGUUCAAUGGUGGGGACAGUGGGCUGCGACCCCGAAAGGGGAAGCAAUCCCUAAACCCCACCUCAGUAGGGAUCGAGGGUUGCAACUCGCCCUCGUGAAC